This 97-nucleotide signal recognition particle RNA is filed under the name Ignavibacteriaceae bacterium. RNAcentral describes it as "signal recognition particle sRNA small type". It matches the Rfam family "Bacterial small signal recognition particle RNA". Rfam says of the family: The signal recognition particle (SRP) is a universally conserved ribonucleoprotein involved in the co-translational targeting of proteins to membranes. Archaeal SRP consists of a 7S RNA and homologues of the eukaryotic SRP19 and SRP54 proteins. The record is from RNAcentral. Lineage: Bacteria; Pseudomonadati; Ignavibacteriota; Ignavibacteria; Ignavibacteriales; Ignavibacteriaceae.
UUCCGGGUAAUGUCCGACGGGUUAACGCCCAACCCCGCCAGGUCCGAAAGGAAGCAACGGUCAGCGUCUAAUCCGGGUGGGCAUGAUCCCGGUUUUU